Molecule: ribosomal RNA, 301 nt
Filed under: uncultured bacterium
Lineage: Bacteria
Description: partial 16S ribosomal RNA
Rfam family: Bacterial small subunit ribosomal RNA
Source: RNAcentral
CAGUCGCCACGGGAACACCGAGGGUGCAAGCGUUAAUCGGAAUUACUGGGCGUAAAGCGCGCGUAGGUGGUUUGUUAAGUUGGAUGUGAAAUCCCCGGGCUUAACCUGGGGACUGCAUUCAAAACUGACUGACUAGAGUAUGGUAGAGGGUGGUGGAAUUUCCUGUGUAGCGGUGAAAUGCGUAGAUAUAGGAAGGAACACCAGUGGCGAAGGCGGCUCACUGGCCCGGUACUGACGCUGAGGCGCGAAAGCGUGGGGAGCAAACAGGAUUAGAUACCCGCGUAGUCCCUGUCUCUUAUAC